GUGAAAUUGAACUCGCUGUGAAGAUGCAGUGUACCCGCGGCAAGACGGAAAGACCCCGUGAACCUUUACUAUAGCUUGACACUGAACAUUGAGCCUUGAUGUGUAGGAUAGGUGGGAGGCUUUGAAGUGUGGACGCCAGUCUGCAUGGAGCCGACCUUGAAAUACCACCCUUUAAUGUUUGAUGUUCUAACGUGGACCCGUGAUCCGGGUUGCGGACAGUGUCUGGUGGGUAGUUUGACUGGGGCGGUCUCCUCCUAAAGAGUAACGGAGGAGCACGAAGGUUGGCUAAUCCUGGUCGGACAUCAGGAGGUUAGUGCAAUGGCAUAAGCCAGCUUGACUGCGAGCGUGACGGCGCGAGCAGGUGCGAAAGCAGGUCAUAGUGAUCCGGUGGUUCUGAAUGGAAGGGCCAUCGCUCAACGGAUAAAAGGUACUCCGGGGAUAACAGGCUGAUACCGCCCAAGAGUUCAUAUCGACGGCGGUGUUUGGCACCUCGAUGUCGGCUCAUCACAUCCUGGGGCUGAAGUAGGUCCCAAGGGUAUGGCUGUUCGCCAUUUAAAGUGGUACGCGAGCUGGGUUUAGAACGUCGUGAGACAGUUCGGUCCCUAUCUGCCGUGGGCGCUGGAGAACUGAGGGGGGCUGCUCCUAGUACGAGAGGACCGGAGUGGACGCAUCACUGGUGUUCGGGUUGUCAUGCCAAUGGCACUGCCCGGUAGCUAAAUGCGGAAGAGAUAAGUGCUGAAAGCAUCUAAGCACGAAACUUGCCCCGAGAUGAGUUCUCCCUGAGACUUUAGGUCUCCUGAAGGAACGUUGAAGACGACGACGUUGAUAGGCCGGGUGUGUAAGCGCAGCGAUGCGUUGAGCUAACCGGUACUAAUGAACCGUGAGGCUUAACCUUACAACGCCGAAG
Molecule: ribosomal RNA, 907 nt
Filed under: Salmonella enterica
Lineage: Bacteria; Pseudomonadati; Pseudomonadota; Gammaproteobacteria; Enterobacterales; Enterobacteriaceae
Description: partial 23S ribosomal RNA
Rfam family: Bacterial large subunit ribosomal RNA
Source: RNAcentral